This 205-nucleotide ribosomal RNA is filed under the name uncultured bacterium. RNAcentral describes it as "partial 16S ribosomal RNA". It matches the Rfam family "Bacterial small subunit ribosomal RNA", at positions 568 to 774 of the family's 1533-position model. The record is from RNAcentral.
CAUGUAGGCGGUUUUUUAAGUCUGGAGUGAAAAUGCGGGGCUCAACCCCGUAUGGCUCUGGAUACUGGAAGACUUGAGUGCAGGAGAGGAAAGGGGAAUUCCCAGUGUAGCGGUGAAAUGCGUAGAUAUUGGGAGGAACACCAGUGGCGAAGGCGCCUUCUGGACUGUGUCUGACGCUGAGAUGCGAAAGCUAGGGUAGCGAACG